Ictidomys tridecemlineatus (thirteen-lined ground squirrel) is the source of this 715-nucleotide long non-coding RNA. RefSeq lists it as uncharacterized. NCBI's taxonomy places the organism in Eukaryota, Metazoa, Chordata, Mammalia, Rodentia, Sciuridae. The record is from RefSeq and is a predicted model, not a curated record.
GCGUGCAGGUCCGUUGCCAGCCUCAGCCAAUCAGCGCUCAGCCCCACCGGCUGGACCAAUAGCAGUUCCUUUUGCUCCCCAUUCAAAAUUGUGGGCGUGGAGCGCGGAUGCACGCGACUUCUCAGGCCAGAGCAGAGCCAGGGAGGAAGGGGAGAGUUCAGGGAAGGUCCCAUGAUCAGGGCUUUCCUCAGCUCUUCUACUCUUUGGGACCGAGGUGGGAUCUUCACAGACCCCUUCAUUACAGCAGCUAGGGCACCCUCCUGGCUUCCUGUUGACAUGCACACAUAUCAGUGGGACAAGGUAAAAGGAGACCUGGCAGAUGCCAUUAUGUGAGCUAGAAGACCCAGGGAAGGCUGGCAUGACAGACUCCCAUUGUUUCCUCCUUAAUCACAUAUUUAUGGAGCACCAGCCUGAGACAGUGAGAGCAACGCACACAGAAGGGUCACCUCUGGUACUUGUGGCACUUCCAUCCUCACCUCAAGCCCCAGAGGGAGAGCCAGGACCCCAAACUCCUUCACUAUCACCUCCAGCUCUAGAGCUCCUAGUGGCCCCAUAGCCAAUGCCAGCUCCUGAGCGCCACCUUGGACCUGCUAAUGCCCAAGGGAGGCCCCUGUGCUCCCUUACUGUUUCACUAGUUUUCCUAUUUUCAUUGUUGGAUUUUGUUUUUACUAUUAAUUUUGAAUAAAAGUGAAUAUUGUACUUAUUUUGAAAUGUU